GCACACACUUGUGUCUUUUCUCUGUUUCUUUUCAACACACACAACUGAUUACAAAGUCUUUUAACAGAGACACUCUCCCUGCUACGUACUGCCUGAUCCGCUAUUUUCUCUCCACUAGUCGGUAGCAUGGCCAUGAGUAACAACCUCUUUGACAUGGCCACACGAUUCAGCCGGCGUCACGCUUAUCUCCUAAUUACUCGGUCCACAUCUAAGCCACUAUCGGCUAUACAACACAUUCAUGCAACGGAAAUACGCGUACGUGCAUGCUACUAACCUGAUGGACGCCCGCACAUGCAUCCAUUCUCUACUGACCUCCUCCCAACUAACUAACUCACUCUAUUAACCAGCUUUGCACUGUGUACGUGAUCAUAACUAGACAUACACAACCUGCCGCAGCUUAGACUAAAUGCAUGACCGAAACUAAUACGACGAAAUAAACAUGAUGAAUACCUAGACAACAAGGUAAACUCAAUCAAUCACCCCCUUAACCUUGUUGUCAUUUAUUCGAACACCUCCAUGUCUAUCUUCAAAGCAACCCCGGCUCGUCGGCGGCGGUCGCGUUGGCGAGAAGCGCCCGCUGCUUCCUUGGCUCGGUGCAGUCCUUGGAGUAAUGCCCGUACUCUUGACAGUUGUAGCAACGCACCUUGCGUAUGUCGAAGUUGCCCUUCUUCUUGCCGGCACCGCUGCGGUGGCGAGCAAGCCACUCCUCCUCCGUGAGGAGCAGGCGGCUCCCACCACCUUGGUCGUAGUUGUUGGCGCCCUCGUUCAAGUCGCUCCGGUCCUCCGCCGUUUGAGCCUUCCCACAAGCUCUUCCAUGGACAUGGUUUUAAGAUCAAGAAGCUGUUCAAUGGCAAUGGCUACCUGGGUAUACUUGGACGGCACAAUGCGGAGAAGAUUCUUCACGACCUUCACCUCGUCAAGGUUCUCGCCGAGCGUGCGCAGCUUGUUGGCGAUCCUGUUCAUGCGCAUGGCGAGCUCAUCGAUGGUCUCGCUGCCCCUCAUGCGGACGGCAUCAAACUCCUUGAGGAGAGUCUGUGCCUUGGCCUCACGGACGCGGGCAUCGCCGACCCGCAGGAUCUUGAUGGCAUCCCAUGCCUCCUUUGCCGUCGCCUUCACGGCAAGCGUGGAGUGCAUCUCCUCCGGCAUGGCUCGCAGGAUUGCCGCAAGCGCCGCCCUGUCCUGGUUGAAUGUCCCGCCUCCCUCGAUGGCGUCCCACACGCGUUGGGCCUCCAUGUUCACCUUCAUGAUCAACGACCACUCGAAGUAGUUUGUCGCCGUCAGUGGCGGGUAGACGACGGUGCUGCUGGCCUGGUGGAUGACUUCCUGCUGCACCACCACCUCGCGGCAGCCAAGCCGCGUCGGGCUUCGGCCUCGGCGCACCACCGGGCCGAGACACGACGGCGACCUGGCGAUGGAGUGCGCGAACCUUCAGUCACCAUGGCUCUGAAUACCAAAUGUUGGCACAGCCCGAGGAGGAAGAAGAAAGGACACACACAAGAGCUUGAGGUAGAAGAAGAGCACAUAGGGAGUUUUGCGGCACCGCACACACUUGUGCCUUUUCUCUGUUUCUUCUCAACACACACAACUGAUUACAAAGUCUUUUAAUAGAGACACACACGUACUACUUCCUGCUACGUACUGCCUGAUCCGCUAUUUUCUCUCCACUAGCCGGUAGCAUGGCCACGAGUAACAACCUCUUUGACAUGGCCACACGAUUCAGCCGGCGUCACGCUUAUCUCCUAAUUACUCGGUCCACAUCUAAGCCACUAUGGGCUAUACAACACAUUCAUGUAACGGAAAUACGCGUACGUGCAUGCUACUAAUCUGAUGGACGCCCGCACAAGCAUCCAUUCUCUACUGACUUCCUCCCAACUAACUAACUCACUCUACUAACCAGCUUUGCACUGUGUACGUGAUCACAACUAGACAUACACAACCUGCCGCAGCUUAGACUAAAUGCAUGACCGAAACUAAUACGACGAAAUAAACAUGAUGAAUACC
Molecule: long non-coding RNA, 2001 nt
Filed under: Triticum aestivum (bread wheat)
Lineage: Eukaryota; Viridiplantae; Streptophyta; Magnoliopsida; Poales; Poaceae
Description: long non-coding RNA (TAES_LNC028202)
Source: RNAcentral